GACAAAGUAGUUUAUCUAAAACCAUGAAUUGUGGUUUCAUAAAUGCUUCCGGCCUUUGUCC
RNAcentral lists this transfer RNA (61 nucleotides) under Cryptonome barbada. RNAcentral describes it as "tRNA-His". The record is from RNAcentral. Lineage: Eukaryota; Metazoa; Annelida; Polychaeta; Eunicida; Amphinomidae.